AACGAACGCUGGCGGCAUGCCUAACACGUGCAAGUCGAACGAUGCCUUCGGGCAUAGUGGCGCACGGGUGCGUAACGCGUGGGAAUCUGCCUUUCGGUUCGGAAUAACUCAGGGAAACUUGAGCUAAUACCGGAUAACGUCGCAAGACCAAAGAUUUAUCACCGAAAGAUGAGCCCGCGUAGGAUUAGCUAGUUGGUGAGGUAAAGGCUCACCAAGGCGACGAUCCUUAGCUGGUCUGAGAGGAUGAUCAGCCACACUGGGACUGAGACACGGCCCAGACUCCUACGGGAGGCAGCAGUGGGGAAUAUUGGACAAUGGGCGAAAGCCUGAUCCAGCAAUGCCGCGUGAGUGAUGAAGGCCUUAGGGUUGUAAAGCUCUUUUACCCGGGAAGAUAAUGACGGUACCGGGAGAAUAAGCCCCGGCUAACUCCGUG
RNAcentral lists this ribosomal RNA (433 nucleotides) under uncultured bacterium. RNAcentral's name for it is "partial 16S ribosomal RNA". It matches the Rfam family "Bacterial small subunit ribosomal RNA", at positions 29 to 507 of the family's 1533-position model. The record is from RNAcentral.